AUCCAACUGACAAGUCCCAAAUAGGACGAAACGCGCAUCUUGAAC
RNAcentral lists this non-coding RNA (45 nucleotides) under Schistosoma mansoni. Lineage: Eukaryota; Metazoa; Platyhelminthes; Trematoda; Strigeidida; Schistosomatidae. The record is from RNAcentral.